AUGCAGACCAAUAGUGAUAAUCUCGAGGUGAUUUAUGCAUUCUUCCAUGGCCACCAGCCUUAUGAUUGCAUCUGUGCGUCACAGCUUAGAGAUCAAUAAUGGAUGCAACAAGCUCUUUGAAUCAUUCUGUUGGGAUCAAGAUUGUUGUGUUCCCUCUGUUUGGAAAGAGACCAAGAAUGGAUACGCUCAGGUGAUUUAAGCAGUCUUCCAUGGCCACGAGCUCUGUGGUUGCCUCUGUAUAUUAAGAGCACAGAGAUUAAAAAUGGCCCCAUUCCAGCUGAUAUAAGCACUCUUCCAUGGCAUGUGCACUAUGGUUGGUUCUCUGUGUUAGGAGCACACAAACCAUUGCGAGUAUGCAUUCAUUUCCUCUCUUUACAAGAAUGGGUGCACUUGAGCCGAUUGAAACAUUCCUCCUUGCAUCUUUCUUCUGUGAUUGCAUCUAUUUGUUAGUAGCAUAGAGACCAAUAAUAGAUGGCUUGUGCUGAUGGAAGGAUUCCUCCCUGGUGACAUGCUGUGUCUGCCUCUUGAUUGGGAGCACGCAGACCUACAAUGAUGCACUUUUUAUGAUUUGAGAAUUCCUUCAUGGUCACGUGCUCUGUUUUUAUCAUGGUUGGGAGCCUGCAGAGCAAUAAGGGACAUGCCUUUGCUGAUUUGAGGAUUCCUCUGAGGUUGGGAGCUAAGUUUGCAUCAUGCUUAGAAAGGAGUGUGCAGACCUGUAAUGAUUGCACUUUGCUGAUUGAAGGAUUCCUUCAAGUCCAUGUGCUCCACUUGCACCAUUUUUAGGAUGGAGCCUGGAGACCUAUAAUGAACAACUUGUGCUGUGUUAAGGAUUCCUCCAUGAUCACGCGCCCCAUUUGUACACCAUGCUUGGGAAGGUGCAUGCAGACCAAUGUUAGUAAUAGUCAAAAUUCCUGUGUCGGUUUGUGUGGUUUGCUAAACAGGACUCAAUGUAUCAUGAAACAGUGUAUUAUAUAGUCAACUAUGGUCA
This 988-nucleotide long non-coding RNA is filed under the name Homo sapiens (human). Its description in RNAcentral is "maternally expressed 8, small nucleolar RNA host gene". Lineage: Eukaryota; Metazoa; Chordata; Mammalia; Primates; Hominidae. The record is from RNAcentral.